RNAcentral lists this ribosomal RNA (254 nucleotides) under uncultured bacterium. RNAcentral's name for it is "partial 16S ribosomal RNA". It matches the Rfam family "Bacterial small subunit ribosomal RNA", at positions 524 to 776 of the family's 1533-position model. The record is from RNAcentral.
UACGUAGGGUGCGAGCGUUAAUCGGAAUUACUGGGCGUAAAGCGUGCGCAGGCGGUUUUGUAAGCCAGAUGUGAAAUCCCCGGGCUUAACCUGGGAAUGGCAUUUGGGACUGCAAGGCUUGAGUGCGGCAGAGGAGACUGGAAUUCCUGGUGUAGCAGUGAAAUGCGUAGAUAUCUGGAGGAACACCGGUGGCGAAGGCGGCAUCCUGGACCGGCAUUGACGCUGAGUGAGCGAAAGCCAGGGGAGCAAACGGG